AGAUAGAGAGGUUGUUUCCAAAAGACAAACUUAUUUCUGCAAGAGAGUACAAAUUUUUUUCUUUUUUCAAGUUUUUCUGGAUUUUGCUGAUCAUAUGAACUAAUUAGGUAGAGUUUGAAGCUUUCCUUUAUAUUUUAUUUAUGAUUUUUAUAGAAGUAAGCCACAUUGAAUAUGUUAUGUAUGUUCUAAGCAUCUUGGUUGUUUAUAUAGAAAUGAGUUAUAUAAAUUAAAAAAUUUAUCGAGAUAUAGUAAAAAAUCAAUUGAUUCCUAAUUAAGGGUCAAUCACUUCUUCUUCGUUUGUCUACAGUUGAGUUGAACGGUAAGCGGUGAUCAAAUAUUCACUUCUUCUUUGUUUGUCUACAAUUACUUUGAAUGGUAAGCUAAUCAAUCUUUGUUUCUCCUUCGUUUCUAUAAUCCUUAUUUCACAUACUUUAUAUAACAUGCCUUUGAUGUAGAUUUUUUUCUUUCCUUUGAUUACUGAAAACGUUGAUCCUAUUUGUUGUGCGAUAUGUUUAAUCAGUUCAAAUAGAUAUGAAAAGAAGGGGUUUUCAUUUAUACACCCCUCAUAUAAAACUCUUUAUCAGUUUAGUGUGUCUACAAGUGAUAAUGGUCAAAUGGGUGAAUUUGCUGAUCUCCACAAUUAACUCUGCAAUAAUGUUGAAAAAAAACGGAAGCAUUAUUAAGUGUUUGAGAAAGUAAAUGAAAGGGUAGUUUCUUAUCCUGUUUUUCUUCGAAUUCUCUUAAUAACUGAUUUUCUCAUAAGUCAUGUUUAUGGGUAACAAGAAAUGUGUGGUUAUAAUACAUUUUUCCUUGUGCACAUGGCGUAUUGCUAAGACCAAGCAUGUGGAAGUGAUUUUCCGUAGAGAACCACACAGUCACGAGAAUUUCUGCCACAAUUUUAUUAGUGCCUUUAAUUUGCAAGAAUGUCUUGAUUUGUUUUCCUUGAGAUUUUGAGUUGUUGCAACAUUUAGUUGUAUAGUAGAUCACCAUCAAUCUGAAUCUACUACUCAAAUUGGUUGUCCCUCUUUUUAACUCUUGAGAAAUGUAGCAUCGUAUUUCAUUUUCUUAAUUUCUUUUAAUCCCUAUCUGCCCUUCUAGAGAGAUUUAUGUAUUAGAAUGAGUGUUGGUUAACCUGGAUGUAUGUGGUUAGUUCAUUUUGAUUUUAUCUUAGUCUUGAUUUCUUAAAGCUGCAGUUCAGAUUAACUACUCAACAAUAACUAUCGGGACCAGUGAUUUGAUCUUUCGGAAAGAGUAUCUCUACCUCCACGAGGUAGUGAUAAGAUCUGAUAAGAUAUGUUGUUGUUUGAACUCUAUUGAUUUGUAUAAUCUCUUCCUCAUUCUACUACUUAACUAUCACUAAGACUUCAGAGUCUUAAGUAUUGUUCAUGUUUAUUACCUACUUUACUGUUCUACAAGUGAUUUUGUUCCAAAAUUAAGUACACUAUGUCAGUUACCUGUUUUCCAGAUCAAACUGGAUAAAAAUGGUAUUGGGAAGAGAGGACAACAAAACAGGAAGUGAGAUGAGAGGGACGACAAAAUGGAAAAGGGAAGCGACAUGAAGGAG
This 1564-nucleotide long non-coding RNA is filed under the name Solanum tuberosum (potato). Its description in RNAcentral is "long non-coding RNA (STUB_LNC009684)". Lineage: Eukaryota; Viridiplantae; Streptophyta; Magnoliopsida; Solanales; Solanaceae. The record is from RNAcentral.